RNA transcript from Rosa chinensis, 2285 nucleotides. It is a transcript of the gene named tubulin-folding cofactor E, with no coding region annotated. The record is from RefSeq and is a predicted model, not a curated record. The transcript has 16 exons. Lineage: Eukaryota; Viridiplantae; Streptophyta; Magnoliopsida; Rosales; Rosaceae.
CUUUUUAAGUACGAGUCAUUCGAAUUGGACCAGUUCGAAAUCAAAACCCUGAGUAUAGUAUAUACAGUCCCGCUUAGUUUUCUGCCCUUUUCACUCUUGCCACAACUGCGACGAUCAUCUCCAACAAUUAUUGAUCUUCAGAAAUGCAAUGCAACCCUCAUCGGAAUCAAACCCAGGCUUCAAACUCGGCCAGCGAGUCCACUCCGCCGGUGACCCCCGCCGAAUCGGAACAGUGAGGUACUUGGGACCCGUUGAAGGCUACUCGGGCACAUGGGUCGGAGUCGAUUGGGACAACAGAGACGGCAAGCAUGAUGGGUCCGUCAAUGGGGUCAACUACUUCCACGCAAGGUCUGAAACAUCUGGCUCUUUCGUUCGACCCCACAAUCUCAGCUCUGGGAUUUCAUUGCUGCAAGCUCUUGAGCUCAGAUAUCGAGGCCAAACCACUCAAGAAGAAGAGGAUGAAAUGUAUGUACUUUCUGCGAGCAACAAGCGUGUGAGUGUUCAACUUGUUGGUAAAGACAAGAUUCAAGACAAGCUGAGUUGUUUCGAAGAGUUGACUAGUGCAUCAACAUCUUACUUGGGUGUUAGCUCUCCUGGAGACCCAUCUGAAAUUGGUGCUGUUGUGCCAAAUUUGAAGGAGCUUGACUUGACUGGAAAUCUAAUUUCAGAGUGGAAGGAUGUUGGCAUGAUCUGUGAACAGCUGCCUGAUCUUGUUGCCCUCAAUUUAUCUUACAAUUUAAUGUCACAUGAUAUUGUUGGGUUGCCGCAUUUGAAAAGCAUCCGUAUUUUAGUAUUAAACAAUGUUGGCAUAAAUUGGACACAGGUAGAAGUACUCAAACAUUCAUUGCCAGCAAUUGAGGAACUACAUCUUAUGGCGAAUCAUAUAAGCACAAUAGAGCCUGCAUCUUCUUCAACAGUUCAGGGAUUUGAUUAUUUGCGGCUACUGAAUUUGGACGACAAUUGUAUAACUGAUUGGAAUGAAAUCUUGAAACUUUCACAGCUACCAAGCUUGGAGCAGUUGCAUUUGGACAAUAACAAUUUGAACCAUGUCUUUUAUCCUGAUGUUGGCAUGAUGCUUGAGCUGCUCAAUGGUCAUGAGUCGCAUGAAAAAGGGCAUAAGCCAUUUCAAAAUUUGCGUUGCCUUCUUCUUGGAGGCAAUACCAUUGAGGACCCUACUUCUAUUGAUGCACUGAACUCAUUCCCACAAUUGGUGGAUGUCAGACUUUCUGGUAAUCCAGUGGCUGAUCCAGGACAGGGUGGUAUCCCAAGAUUUGUUUUGGUUGCCCGCUUAGGAAAAGUUGAAAUGUUGAAUGGGAGUGAGGUUACUUCUCGUGAAAGAAAAGAGUCCGAAAUUCGGUAUGUCCGGUUAGUUAUGUCAAAGCAAGGAAAUAUUCAAGAAAUCAAGCUGCUUCAUCCAAGGUUUGCCGAGCUCAAGGCUUUUCAUGGAAUUGAGGACGAAAAGCCAUUGGUGGGAGCAGCAGGCCCUCAAAAGAUGGCUACAGGGCUUCUAUCUGUUACUCUGAAAUGCGUGGGAGCAUCAAUAGGUGAGAAGCCCUCUUUGGUGAAGAAACUUCCAGGCACCACAACGGUUGGUAAGCUAAAAAUUCUUUGUGUAAGCUUUUUCAAGCUGAAGUCUAUGAAGUUGAAAUUGUUUCUUCAAGAAGAGGGUUCUCCUUUGCCAAUGUUGCUAGAUGAUGAAAUGCAGAGUUUGACAGACCUUGGGAUUGGCAAUGAAUCAACCAUUCUUGUGGAUGAAGAGAGUUAAGAGAAUCCAAAGACUAGGGACAUGUCUGUUGCAAAUUUUAAGGUGUGUGUGCAGGUUUUCUGGUGGCAUCAGCUAACAAGAUGAGAUUUUAGCAUCUCCAUAAGCUAGAUAGUCACUGCCAAUCUGUUUUCUGAAACAAUUUCAAACUACAUUUACUCUCACUCAAUGAGACAGCAAGGUUGCCAGGAAGAAGUGACUUGAAUUCAUUUACAUUCGGCCACUGUUGUCCUGACUUCGUAGUUCAUACUUUCGCAUUAAGACGUCUUGAAUUUCCAAAGAAGCAGGUCAAAAGUAUGUGGAGCAACUGGUGUUCAAGCAUCACACGUUUGUAAAACUGUAUCAAGGCGCUCGUUCUUUUGAAUUAGGAUGCCUUGAUCCUGAGUACCUAAGAUGAAUUUUCCCCUUGGUUUUAAAGUCAGCGAGGUUACAAAAGCACUUGUAGACAAAAUUAAGAUAAUUUUUCCUGUUGGAUAAUUUGGGAACAUGGCAAUGAGAUAAUUUGCGAUAGUUUGUUGGCUAA